UUUGGACAAUGGGGGAAACCCUGAUCCAGCUAUCCCGCGUGUGCGAUGAAGGCCUUCGNGUUGUANANCACUUUUGGCAGGAAAGNAACGGCGCCAGCUAAUACCUGGCGCUAAUGACGGUACCUGCAGAAUAAGCACCGGCUAACUACGUGCCAGCAGCCGCGGUAAUACGUAGGGUGCAAGCGUUAAUCGGAAUUACUGGGCGUAAAGCGUGCGCAGGCGGUUCGGAAAGAAAGAUGUGAAAUCCCAGAGCUUAACUUUGGAACUGCAUUUUUAACUACCGGGCUAGAGUGUGUCAGAGGGAGGUGGAAUUCCGCGUGUAGCAGUGAAAUGCGUAGAUAUGCGGAGGAACACCGAUGGCGAAGGCAGCCUCCUGGGAUAACACUGACGCUCAUGCACGAAAGCGUGGGGAGCAAACA
Molecule: ribosomal RNA, 419 nt
Filed under: uncultured bacterium
Lineage: Bacteria
Description: partial 16S ribosomal RNA
Rfam family: Bacterial small subunit ribosomal RNA
Source: RNAcentral